RNA transcript from Trachemys scripta elegans, 3844 nucleotides. It is a transcript of the gene named tyrosine kinase non receptor 2, with no coding region annotated. The record is from RefSeq and is a predicted model, not a curated record. NCBI's taxonomy places the organism in Eukaryota, Metazoa, Chordata, Testudines, Emydidae.
ACGCUGCCCUGUAGCAUGGAGUCAGACGAGGGCACAGACUGGCUCCUGGAGCUCCUGACCGAGGUGCAGCUGCAGCAGUACUUCCUGCGCAUCCGCGACGACCUCAACGUCACCCGCCUCUCGCACUUCGAGUACGUCAAAAAUGAAGAUCUGGAGAAGAUCGGCAUGGGGCGGCCUGGCCAGCGGCGGCUGUGGGAAGCCGUGAAGCGCAGGAAAGCCAUGUGCAAGCGCAAGUCGUGGAUGAGCAAGGUGUUCAGCGGGAAGCGCCCCGAGACAGAGUUCCCACCCCAGCCCCAGCCCACCUUCCCCAAGCUCUCCAGCCCGCCGCCCGCCGAGGAGGGGCAGCAGGCCCUGACCUGCCUGAUCAGCGAGAAGGACCUGACGCUCUUCGAGAAGCUGGGGGACGGCUCCUUCGGCGUGGUGCGGCGCGGCGAGUGGGGCACGCCCACCGGCAAGACGCAGCUCAGCGUGGCUGUGAAGUGUCUCAAGACUGAUGUGCUAAGCCAGCCGGAGGCGCUGGACGACUUCAUCCGGGAGGUGAACGCCAUGCACUCGCUGGACCACCGCAACCUCAUCCGGCUCUACGGCGUGGUGCUCUCGCCCCCCAUGAAGAUGGUGACGGAGCUGGCCCCGCUGGGCUCCCUGCUGGACCGGCUGCGGAAGAACCAGGGCCAUUUCCUCCUCUCCACACUGUGCCAGUACGCCGUGCAGAUCGCCACGGGCAUGGCCUACCUGGAGUCCAAGCGCUUCAUCCACCGCGACCUGGCUGCUCGCAACAUCCUGCUGGCCUCCAGCGACCUGGUCAAGAUCGGCGACUUCGGACUCAUGCGGGCGCUGCCCAAGAACGACGACCACUACGUCAUGCAGGAGCACCGCAAGGUGCCCUUCGCCUGGUGUGCCCCGGAGAGCCUGAAGACACGCACCUUCUCACACGCCAGCGACACCUGGAUGUUCGGGGUCACCCUCUGGGAGAUGUUCACCUAUGGGCAGGAGCCGUGGGUCGGCCUCAGCGGCAGCCAGAUCCUCCACAAGAUCGACAAGGAGGGCGAGCGGCUGCCGCGGCCCGAGGACUGCCCGCAGGACAUCUACAAUGUCAUGCUGCAAUGCUGGGCGCACAAGCCCGAGGACCGGCCCACCUUCGUGGCCCUGCGCGACUUCCUGCUGGAGGCCCAGCCCACGGACAUGAGGGCCCUGCAGGACGUGGACGAGCCGGAGAAGUUGCACAUCCAGAUGAACGACGUCAUCACAGUCAUCGAGGGCAGGGCUGAGAAUUAUUGGUGGCGGGGUCAGAAUAAGAGGACCCUUAAAGUGGGGCAGUUCCCGCGAAACACGGUGACCUCCGUGGCAGGGCUGUCGGCCCACGACAUCAGCCAGCCGCUAAAAAACAGCUUCAUCCACACUGGCCAUGGAGACACCAACCCACAGCACUGCUGGGGCUUCCCUGAUAAGAUCGAUGAGCUAUACCUGGGAAACCCCAUGGACCCUCCCGACGUGCUAGGCGUGGACCUGAACGCAGCCAGACCCACCCAGCUCCCGAGCCGGGCGAAAAGGGAUCCACCGCCUCGGCCACCGCAGCCGGCCAUCCUCCUUACGAAGCCCUCCUACGACCCCGUCAGCGAGGACGACUCCCUCUCCACGGGCCUCAAGCGGCUGUACCUGAGGAAGCCGGGCCCCCCGAAGGGGCUGAAGCUGGUGAAGCCGUCGGCCUGGGUGUCGGGCACCAAGGUGGGCGAGCGGCAGCUGAGCCGGGCCAAGGGUGGGGGUCCCUCUUGUGGCGAGGCGCCACUGAUUGACUUUGGGGACGAGCCGCCCCCCGCCACCCCCUCGCCGGUCGGGGAGCUGGGCGCCCCCUCCCUCGCCAGGCUGGCCAUGGAGGCUUUCUCCCUGCUGGACAAGACGCCCCCCCAGAGCCCCACGCGGUCACUGCCCCGGCCCCUCCACCCCACCCCGGUGGUGGACUGGGACGCUCGGCCCCUGCCCCCGCCACCGGCCUACGAUGAUGUGGCGCAGGACGAGGCCGACUUCGAGGUGUGCUCCAUAAACAGUGUGGAGGGGCUGGUGGGGCGGCCAGCCUGGGACGAGGAAGAGAAGGCGGCGCCGCUGGAGGACAACCUCUUCCUGCCGCCCCAUGGGGCCAAGCAGCCCAGCCUGGAGCAGACCACCGAGAUCUUCCAGGAGCUGCAGCAGGAGUGCAUGAAGCGGCUGCACGUGCCCCGGAGCCCUGCGCCCGGCCCCGGCGAGGACAAGCCGCAGAUUCCGCCCCGCGUGCCCAUCCCGCCCCGGCCCCUGCGGAGGAACGAGCCCGGGCGCUGGUCGGGGGAGCUGUCCCCGGCCUCAGGGGGCGAGGAGGACCGGCCACCCCAGAUCCCGCCCCGCGACCCCUUAUCCCAGCCCACCUCCAGGACUCCCAGCCCCAUGGCUCUGCAGGUGGGCUCCCCGCAGCAAAGGGCCAGCCUCUGCUCCCCCUUGGCCCUGGCCGCCUCCCUCUCCACCUCCCCGGGCAAGGCCAUGCCCACCACGCAGAGCUUCGCCUCGGACCCCAAGUACGCCACGCCCAAGGUCAUCCUGGCGCAGGACAAGGACAGCGUCAGGGGCCCCUGCAUCCUGCCCAUUGUCAAGGACGGCCGGAAGGUGAGCAACACCCACUACUACCUGCUGCCCGAGCCCCCGGCCUACCUACACAAGUACGAGAAGUUCUUCAAGGAAGCCCGGAGCCCUGAGGAGCCGGCGUCCCGCGUGGUCAGCACCGCCACCGUCCGGCCCAUGGUGCAGCAGCCCAACUGCUCGGCCAACAACAGCAACCCCGGCCCCCGGGGGGCGCUCAGGGCCUCCUGCAGCGUCCAGAACAUUAUCUACGACAGCAGCAGCGACGGCUGCCGGGCCGCCGAGAAAGUGCGACUGGUGCAGGAGAUGGUGCACGGCGUGACCACCGAGGAGUGCCAGGCUGCCCUGCAGAACCACGGCUGGAACGUCCAGCGGGCCAUCCAGUAUCUGAAGGUGGAGCAGCUUUUCUGCCUGGGCCUCAAGACCAGGGGGGAGUGCCACCGGGUCCUGGAGAUGUUCGACUGGAACCUGGAGCAGGCCAGCUGCCACCUGCUGGACCCUGCCAGCGCCGCCAGGCAGAAGCGGUGACGGCAGCAGGCCGGGAAGCUGAGUCAGACCUGGAGCGGGCACCUCCUGCCCCACCUCCGCGGUGCCUGCCCCCCACGUUGGAUUGAGCUGGCCGGAGAGCCCGGAGCUUGGCAGAGAGCCUGACCGGGGCUCGGGACUGGCAUGGGGCAGCCCCCGGGACCCCGCUGGGGGUUGCCCCGGAGCUCGCUGGAGAAUUGUUUUGUAAAGAGAAAUAACAUAAAAUGAAACUUCAGAAUGAGGCUCCCAGCCAGCAAAUUGUCCCUGCCCUGAAAGCAAACCUGGGGGAGGUAUGAAGUGCUGCUGAAGUGAGCAAAGCCAGCGGCACAAAGGGAACAUGGAGUUCCCUCACCUACAGGGAUCUCGGCUGCUUCACCGCCGCUGGCUCCUGGCUCGGGGGAGGAAGACGCUGUUUCCGGGACAGAAUUGACAUUGGCCCCAUUCACGGCUGACACCAAACUAGCUGUUGCUCCCUCUGCCGGAAAAGAGGCGCUGGCUUCGCGGGCGUGGCCGCUUGAAAUGGCGCGUUCUCCAGGCAACGUGGUGUUGGCGGGCAUGGCGGACGGGGACGGAGGAGAUCGGGCUGUCUCUGUGGCUGCCAGGACUCCGGCACGGAGCAAACUGCUCUCCGCCGCUGUGGGAGAUGCAGCUCCAGGGGUGAACUCAUCCUCUGGAGAGGCUGGGACAGCAGAGGUGGGCCCAGGAUCUGCACAGG